ACGAUCCGUACGUGGUCUGAGAGAUGAUCAGCCACUGGGACUGAGAGACACGGCCCAGACUCCUCAGGGAGGCAGCAGUGGGGNAUAUUGGACAAUGGGCGAAAGCCUGAUCCAGCAAUGCCGCGUGUGUGAAGAAGGCCUGAGGGUUGUAAAGCACUUUCAGCGGNNAGAAGGUAUAAGUGUUAAUACCA
RNAcentral lists this ribosomal RNA (191 nucleotides) under marine snow associated bacterium AdriaticR24. RNAcentral's name for it is "partial 16S ribosomal RNA". It matches the Rfam family "Bacterial small subunit ribosomal RNA", at positions 276 to 469 of the family's 1533-position model. The record is from RNAcentral.